RNAcentral lists this ribosomal RNA (398 nucleotides) under uncultured bacterium. RNAcentral's name for it is "bacterial SSU rRNA". It matches the Rfam family "Bacterial small subunit ribosomal RNA", at positions 362 to 775 of the family's 1533-position model. The record is from RNAcentral.
UCUUGCACAAUGGGCGAAAGCCUGAUGCAGCAACGCCGCGUGAGCGAAGAAGGCCUUUGGGUCGUAAAGCUCUGUCCUAAGGGAAGAANGAAGUGACGGUACCUUAGGAGGAAGCCCCGGCUAACUACGUGCCAGCAGCUGCGGUAAUACGUAGGGGGCAAGCGUUAUCCGGAAUUAUUGGGCGUAAAGAGUACGUAGGCGGUUCUUUAAGCGUAGGGUCUAAGGCGAUGGCUUAACCAUCGUUCGCCCUGUGAACUGGAGGACUUGAGUAUCGGAGAGGAAAGCGGAAUUCCUAGUGUAGCGGUGAAAUGCGUAGAUACUAGGAGGAACACCAGUGGCGAAGGCGGCUUUCUGGACGAAGACUGACGCUGAGGUACGAAAGCGUGGGGAGCAAACAG